CAGAGGGGGCAAGCGUUGUUCGGAAUUACUGGGCGUAAAGGGCGCGUAGGCGGCCUUCUAAGUCGAACGUGAAAUCCCCGGGCUCAACCCGGGAACUGCGUCCGAGACUGGAAGGCUUGAAUCCGGGAGAGGGAUGUGGAAUUCCAGGUGUAGCGGUGAAAUGCGUAGAUAUCUGGAGGAACAUCGGUGGCGAAGGCGGCAUCCUGGACCGGUAUUGACGCUGAGGCGCGAAAGCCAGGGGAGCAAACGGGAUUAGAUACCCCGGUAGUCCUGGCCCUAAACGAUGAAUGCUUGGUGUGGCGGGUAUCGAUCCCUGCCGUGCCGAAGCUAACGCAUUAAGCAUUCCGCCUGGGGAGUACUGUCGCAAGGCUG
Molecule: ribosomal RNA, 372 nt
Filed under: uncultured organism
Description: bacterial SSU rRNA
Rfam family: Bacterial small subunit ribosomal RNA
Source: RNAcentral